GCUGCGGCAGCGAACGUAUCACCCAAGACAACUUUACGGAGUUGACGAUUGACGGAGCGAAGCGACGUCAAAGCGUUCAUUAAAGUCGAGUUGGCUUAGGGAUACGUUCGUUGGGUAGGGGAGCGUUCUGUAAGCCUGUGAAGGUGUGUCGUGAGGCAUGCUGGAGGUAUCAGAAGUGCGAAUGCUGACAUAAGUAACGAUAAAGCGGGUGAAAAGCCCGCUCGCCGGAAGACCAAGGGUUCCUGUCCAACGUUAAUCGGGGCAGGGUGAGUCGACCCCUAAGGCGAGGCCGAAAGGCGUAGUCGAUGGGAAACGGGUUAAUAUUCCCGUACUUGGUGUUACUGCGAAGGGGGGACGGAGAAGGCUAUGUUGGCCGGGCGACGGUUGUCCCGGUUUAAGCGUGUAGGUGUGUGUUCCAGGUAAAUCCGGUUCACUUUAACACUGAGGCGUGACGACGAGGCACUACGGUGCUGAAGCAACAAAUGCCCUGCUUCCAGGAAAAGCCUCUAAGCAUCAGGUAACAUCAAAUCGUACCCCAAACCGACACAGGUGGUCAGGUAGAGAAUACCAAGGCGCUUGAGAGAACUCGGGUGAAGGAACUAGGCAAAAUGGUGCCGUAACUUCGGGAGAAGGCACGCUGACACGUAGGUGAAGUGAUUUACUCAUGGAGCUGAAGUCAGUCGAAGAUACCAGCUGGCUGCAACUGUUUAUUAAAAACACAGCACUGUGCAAACACGAAAGUGGACGUAUACGGUGUGACGCCUGCCCGGUGCCGGAAGGUUAAUUGAUGGGGUCAGCGCAAGCGAAGCUCCUGAUCGAAGCCCCGGUAAACGGCGGCCGUAACUAUAACGGUCCUAAGGUAGCGAAAUUCCUUGUCGGGUAAGUUCCGACCUGCACGAAUGGCGUAAUGAUGGCCAGGCUGUCUCCACCCGAGACUCAGUGAAAUUGAACUCGCUGUGAAGAUGCAGUGUACCCGCGGCAAGACGGAAAGACCCCGUGAACCUUUACUAUAGCUUGACACUGAACAUUGAGCCUUGAUGUGUAGGAUAGGUGGGAGGCUUUGAAGUGUGGACGCCAGUCUGCAUGGAGCCGACCUUGAAAUACCACCCUUUAAUGUUUGAUGUUCUAACGUGGACCCGUAAUCCGGGUUGCGGACAGUGUCUGGUGGGUAGUUUGACUGGGGCGGUCUCCUCCUAAAGAGUAACGGAGGAGCACGAAGGUUGGCUAAUCCUGGUCGGACAUCAGGAGGUUAGUGCAAUGGCAUAAGCCAGCUUGACUGCGAGCGUGACGGCGCGAGCAGGUGCGAAAGCAGGUCAUAGUGAUCCGGUGGUUCUGAAUGGAAGGGCCAUCGCUCAACGGAUAAAAGGUACUCCGGGGAUAACAGGCUGAUACCGCCCAAGAGUUCAUAUCGACGGCGGUGUUUGGCACCUCGAUGUCGGCUCAUCACAUCCUGGGGCUGAAGUAGGUCCCAAGGGUAUGGCUGUUCGCCAUUUAAAGUGGUACGCGAGCUGGGUUUAGAACGUCGUGAGACAGUUCGGUCCCUAUCUGCCGUGGGCGCUGGAGAACUGAGGGGGGCUGCUCCUAGUACGAGAGGACCGGAGUGGACGCAUCACUGGUGUUCGGGUUGUCAUGCCAAUGGCACUGCCCGGUAGCUAAAUGCGGAAGAGAUAAGUGCUGAAAGCAUCUAAGCACGAAACUUGCCCCGA
This 1706-nucleotide ribosomal RNA is filed under the name Salmonella enterica subsp. enterica serovar Typhimurium. Its description in RNAcentral is "partial 23S ribosomal RNA". It matches the Rfam family "Bacterial large subunit ribosomal RNA", at positions 1199 to 2802 of the family's 2925-position model. Lineage: Bacteria; Pseudomonadati; Pseudomonadota; Gammaproteobacteria; Enterobacterales; Enterobacteriaceae. The record is from RNAcentral.